This 741-nucleotide ribosomal RNA is filed under the name Triticum aestivum (bread wheat). Its description in RNAcentral is "partial small subunit ribosomal RNA". Lineage: Eukaryota; Viridiplantae; Streptophyta; Magnoliopsida; Poales; Poaceae. The record is from RNAcentral.
AUGCGCUGCGUUAAAUCUCCUACUUUCUCUGUCAAGCUCAACGGGAGUUUAUCUCAUAGUUUUAUCCCGUCCAGAGGACUGAGACAGGGGGACCCCCUAUCCCUGUACCUCUUUCUCUUCUGCGUGGAGGGUUUCUCGGCACUAUUAAAGAAGGCGCAGGAGGAGGCUGUUAUCAAAGGGGUUUCGUUCGGUACCAACGGGCCAAUCGUUACCCAUUUACUCUUUGCUGAUGACGGUGUGGUAUUUGUGGAAGGUUCUAGGAAUAACUUUGAAGCACUCCGGACUAUUCUGCAGCAGUAUGAAGCUGCGUCCGGGCAGAAGGUGAACUUCCAUAAGUCCUCAAUUUUCUUCGGGAAAGGAAAGGAGGAUACUACAAAAGAAGAGAUAAAGAAGGUGAUGGGCAUUAAGGAGGAGGCGUUGAGUGAGCGGUAUUUGGGGUUACCUACAGUGGUAGGGAGCUCGCAGGAUGGAACUUUCAAAUAUGUCAAGGAGAGAGCAAGAGGGAAAGUAUCAGGAUGGAAAGGACGAGGACUAUCAAAGAUGGCUAGAAAGGUGCUUGUUAAAUCCGGCCUCCAAUCAACACCAACUUUUACCAUGAGCUGCUUCCAACUCACAAAGAAAAUGUGCGGGAAUCUGUCAUCUAUUUCGUCAAACUUCUGGUGGGGUGAAGCAAAUGGACAAAAGAAGGUUCAUUGGAUCGCAUGGGAUAAAAUGUGCACGAGAAAGCAUGAAGGGGCCUAG